GAUGAACGCUGGCGGCGUGCCUAAUACAUGCAAGUCGAGCGAACAGACGAGGAGCUUGCUCCUCUGACGUUAGCGGCGGACGGGUGAGUAACACGUGGAUAACCUACCUAUAAGACUGGGAUAACUUCGGGAAACCGGAGCUAAUACCGGAUAAUAUAUUGAACCGCAUGGUUCAAUAGUGAAAGACGGCUUUGCUGUCACUUAUAGAUGGAUCCGCGCCGCAUUAGCUAGUUGGUAAGGUAACGGCUUACCAAGGCAACGAUGCGUAGCCGACCUGAGAGGUUGAUCGGCCACACUGGAACUGAGACACGGUCCAGACUCCUACGGGAGGCAGCAGUAGGGAAUCUUCCGCAAUGGGCGAAAGCCUGACGGAGCAACGCCGCGUGAGUGAUGAAGGUCUUCGGAUCGUAAAACUCUGUUAUUAGGGAAGAACAAAUGUGUAAGUAACUAUGCACGUCUUGACGGUACCUAAUCAGAAAGCCACGGCUAACUACGUG
RNAcentral lists this ribosomal RNA (497 nucleotides) under uncultured bacterium. RNAcentral's name for it is "partial 16S ribosomal RNA". It matches the Rfam family "Bacterial small subunit ribosomal RNA", at positions 28 to 507 of the family's 1533-position model. The record is from RNAcentral.